RNAcentral lists this ribosomal RNA (647 nucleotides) under uncultured bacterium. Its description in RNAcentral is "bacterial SSU rRNA". It matches the Rfam family "Bacterial small subunit ribosomal RNA", at positions 52 to 715 of the family's 1533-position model. The record is from RNAcentral.
GGCAUGCAGUUCGAGCGAGAACCCCGCAAGGGGGGACAGCGGCAAACGGGGUAGUAAUGUGUCGGAACGUGCCCAGAGGACGGGGAUAGCGGCGGGAAACUGCCGGUAAUACCCGAUGAUCUCGAGAGAGCAAAGGUGUGAUUCCGCCUUUGGAGCGGCCGACAUGGUAUUAGCUAGUUGGCGGGGUAACGGCCCACCAAGGCUUUGAUGCCUAGGGGAUGUGAGAGCAUGAUCCCCACCAUUGGGACUGAGACACUGCCCAGACACCUACGGGUGGCUGCAGUCGAGAAUCUUCGUCAAUGGGCGAAAGCCUGAACGAGCGACGCCGCGUGCGGGAUGAAGGCCCUUGGGUUGUAAACCGCUGUCGAGGGGGAUGAAGGCAUUCAGGUACUCCUGAAUGUUUGACAGAGCCCUGGAGGAAGCACGGGCUAAGUUCGUGCCAGCAGCCGCGGUAAUACGAACUGUGCGAACGUUAUUCGGAAUCACUGGGCUUACAGGGUGCGUAGGCGGCUAUUCAGGUCAGGUGUGAAAGCCCUCGGCUCAACCGAGGAACUGCGCUUGAAACCGGAUGGCUCGAGUCAGCUAGAGGUACACGGAACUUCCAGUGGAGCGGUGAAAUGUGUUGAUAUUGGAAGGAACACCGGAGC